This 86-nucleotide transfer RNA is filed under the name Candidatus Roizmanbacteria bacterium. RNAcentral's name for it is "Pseudo tRNA". It matches the Rfam family "tRNA". From Rfam's summary of the family: Transfer RNA (tRNA) molecules are approximately 80 nucleotides in length. The record is from RNAcentral. Lineage: Bacteria; Candidatus Roizmaniibacteriota.
GGAGGAGUCCGAUAGUGGUCAAUUCGGGGAGUUUGCUAAACUCCUGAGUCGUAAGACUCGCGUGGGUUCAAAUCCCACCUCCUCCG